CGCAAGCCUGACGGAGCAAGACCGCGUGCGGGAUGACGGCCUAAUGGUUGUAAACCGCUUUUCUCUGGGAAGAUGAUGACGGUACCAGAGGAAUCAGCCUCGGCUAACUCCGUGCCAGCAGCCGCGGUAAUACGGAGGAGGCAAGCGUUAUCCGGAAUUAUCGGGCGUAAAGCGUCCGUAGGUGGUUAUUCAAGUCUGCUGUCAAAGCGUGGGGCUUAACUCCAUAGAGGCAGUGGAAACUGGAUGACUUGAGUGCGGUGGGGGUCGAGGGAAUUCCCAGUGUAGCGGUGAAAUGCGUAGAUAUUGGGAAGAACACCAGUGGCGAAAGCGCUCGACUGGGCCUGCACUGACACUGAGGGACGAAAGCUAGGGGAGCG
This 377-nucleotide ribosomal RNA is filed under the name uncultured cyanobacterium. RNAcentral describes it as "bacterial SSU rRNA". It matches the Rfam family "Bacterial small subunit ribosomal RNA", at positions 376 to 770 of the family's 1533-position model. Lineage: Bacteria; Bacillati; Cyanobacteriota. The record is from RNAcentral.